GCCGAGUUCUGUAGCUAGAGCUUGUAACCCGAGCGGGGGCGUUAAGGUGGCGUUUGAAUGCUUUGCGAUAAUUUCUGGGCCUUGGGCUCGUUGUGACAUUGGCCGGCUUGCCCAUCCCAAGUUGCUCACUGCCCACUUUCAACGGUGGCAGGAUAACAAGCCGCUGCACUUUGAGCCCGGCUCAGGCCCAGAACCUCACUAAGCAAACCACCAUCUUUUUUUUAUUUUUGCAUGCCCACUUUCACAACUGAUUUACCUUUGUUACUCAAUCCUAUCAUUAAUCUUCUCUUUCGUUGUUGAUACUGUUUGUUGGCAGGAAUGGCGUAAGGCUGGCUUCACAGAGCAGCGAUCACUGCCCACUUUCAACGGUGGGAGGAUAACAAGCCGCUGCACUUUGAGCCCGGCUCAGGCCCAGAACCUCACUAAGCAAACCACCAUCUUU
RNAcentral lists this signal recognition particle RNA (442 nucleotides) under Zea mays. Its description in RNAcentral is "Plant signal recognition particle RNA". It matches the Rfam family "Plant signal recognition particle RNA". Lineage: Eukaryota; Viridiplantae; Streptophyta; Magnoliopsida; Poales; Poaceae. The record is from Rfam by way of RNAcentral.